GGAGAGAUGACCGAGAGGCCGAAGGUGCUCGCCUGCUAAGCGAGUGUACACUGAUAAGGUGUAUCGAGGGUUCGAAUCCCUCUCUCUCCGCCA
RNAcentral lists this transfer RNA (93 nucleotides) under Pseudomonadota bacterium. RNAcentral's name for it is "tRNA-Ser". It matches the Rfam family "tRNA". Rfam says of the family: Transfer RNA (tRNA) molecules are approximately 80 nucleotides in length. Their secondary structure includes four short double-helical elements and three loops (D, anti-codon, and T loops). Further hydrogen bonds mediate the characteristic L-shaped molecular structure. tRNAs have two regions of fundamental functional importance: the anti-codon, which is responsible for specific mRNA codon recognition, and the 3' end, to which the tRNAs corresponding amino acid is attached (by aminoacyl-tRNA synthetases). tRNAs cope with the degeneracy of the genetic code in two manners: having more than one tRNA (with a specific anti-codon) for a particular amino acid; and 'wobble' base-pairing, i.e. permitting non-standard base-pairing at the 3rd anti-codon position. Lineage: Bacteria; Pseudomonadati; Pseudomonadota. The record is from RNAcentral.